RNAcentral lists this long non-coding RNA (1262 nucleotides) under Equus caballus (horse). RNAcentral describes it as "lncRNA (ENSECAG00000043813.2)". The record is from RNAcentral. Lineage: Eukaryota; Metazoa; Chordata; Mammalia; Perissodactyla; Equidae.
GGGCCUUCCAGUCAAGGUCCCUUCAGCUCUCUGAGUUACUCUUACCGAUUGUAGGAAAAGGCAAGCAUGCUGAAGAACAGUUGGCUCCACGGGUGACUACGAGUUUGGGGUGGGACCCCAGGGACAGGCUAUUUAUGGCGAACUGGGGAAACACAGCCAAAGAAACACCCACUGUGUAAGAAGACAGAUAGAGGAACCUAAAGUACCUGGCUCAAGCUGGCCCAGGGCUGGCAAGCCCUUCUGCGGAGCCACCCUGCCCUGGAGGCUGGACUGCCUGUUUCUGAAGCCACCUUCCGUGGGUCCUAAGUGAGGUCUGCAAGAAACUGGCUGUCACCAUCCAAGCCUGCCAGCUUCACAUGAUAAAACUCCCUGGCACUCUGAGCUGGUGUGCCCCACAGACACCUCACCACCACCCGCUCCAGGGAGGGGCCCUCCUGAGUGAUGUGCCAGGAGGCAGGGCCAGGCCUGCUGGGAGGCGGGCCUGCCUCAUCGGUAUUUCCAUUUCCACUCAGCCCUCAGGCUGAAAGGGAGGAAUGGGACACUCCUCAAAGCCAGCACGGUAAUUGAGGAGGCAUUAAGCUUAAUUAGGCUAAUCGUCUGCCUGAAGUCAUUCACCUUCAACCUCCAAAAAGCAACUUCAGAAAAAACCUCGUAGCAGCCGUGGGGCUGGAGGGCGCAGGUGGAGGAUUAAGGAGCUGGUGUCUGGAAUUCCUAAGAGGAUUCCGGCACGGUCUCAGGAGUCUUGGGGUGCAGAGCCAACCAACUAAACCUAUGCCCAAGACGGACCCAAAGGGGAACUUCUCAGCUUUUAGUCCCAAGCCGGGAUCUGGGCUUGGCUGAGGCUGGGGGACUUUUCCGGUUUCCCUCUGAGCCUAUUUGAUUUGGUCAGUGGAGACCUGACCAAGGGAGCCGAUGUGCCCACACACGUUCCCACAGGUCCCCACAGGUUUACUUUCUCCAGCUGUUUCGCUCCCCAUAGCAAUGGCCUCCUGUCUGCCAGGGCUGAAGGACAGACAGUGGUGUUUAAUUUUGUGUAACUGACCAACUAACAGACAGAAAGACUUCCCCAUCUUUCUGUGGAGUGACUCUUUACUCAAAAGACCCGCAUGCAAGCGUUGAUGGCUGAAAAGCCCAGCUGAAAAUGAGCAAUCCUUUGCAAUGAGGAAAAAAACAAACAAAUAAUCUAUUUAGCAGCUACAUGGAAUCCCAAACCCCCAUAUCUCAAAAGCUCCAGGGAAUAGAGACUGGAGAGGCCAAACCAG